This is a non-coding RNA of Lentinula aff. lateritia, 96 nucleotides long. Lineage: Eukaryota; Fungi; Basidiomycota; Agaricomycetes; Agaricales; Omphalotaceae. The record is from the annotation of a GenBank genome assembly.
UCCGAUAUGGUGUAGUGGCUAACAUUAUCGCCUCUCAUCGAUCCACGAAGCGUGACUCGAGCGCGAUAGCCCGGGGUUCGAUUCCCCGUGUCGGAA